This 90-nucleotide small RNA is filed under the name Arabidopsis thaliana (thale cress). Its description in RNAcentral is "ATSL055600". The record is from RNAcentral. Lineage: Eukaryota; Viridiplantae; Streptophyta; Magnoliopsida; Brassicales; Brassicaceae.
UUUUUUUUUGGGAUCUUCGUCAUACCCUAUCAUAAUUCAAAUACGGUGGUAGUAAUGUGUGUGUAAUUUAUAGAUGAAAGAAAUAAUAUU